RNAcentral lists this unclassified non-coding RNA (231 nucleotides) under uncultured Ascomycota. RNAcentral describes it as "sequence contains ITS2". The record is from RNAcentral. Lineage: Eukaryota; Fungi; Ascomycota.
CCGCUGCAGCAAUGCGAGGUGGGCCUGGCAUGCCGUGCCUGGCUCCAAAGACAGCAAUCGGAGCAUCCGCACCCAUGCGUCAAAUGUCCAUGGGGAGGGUGCGGCCGGUUGAGGGAGGGGAGGGGAGGUAAGGAUGGUGAGGUGGUGGUGGUGGGUGGGUGGGGUGAAUAGCUCUAACCAGCCAACCAACCCUAGCUGGCUGGUCUGGCCCUCUCCCCGUUAUUUAUAGCA